RNAcentral lists this transfer RNA (63 nucleotides) under Atrocalopteryx atrata. RNAcentral describes it as "tRNA-Cys". The record is from RNAcentral. Lineage: Eukaryota; Metazoa; Arthropoda; Insecta; Odonata; Calopterygidae.
GGCUUUAUAGUCAAAUUAUGAUGUUAGGUUGCAAUUCUAAAGUUGUUAUUAAAACUAAAGCCU